This 396-nucleotide ribosomal RNA is filed under the name uncultured bacterium. RNAcentral describes it as "partial 16S ribosomal RNA". It matches the Rfam family "Bacterial small subunit ribosomal RNA", at positions 355 to 762 of the family's 1533-position model. The record is from RNAcentral.
UGGGGAAUAUUGCACAAUGGGCGCAAGCCUGAUGCAGCAACGCCGCGUGAGGGAUGACGGCCUUCGGGUUGUAAACCUCUUUUAGCAGGGAAGAAGCGAAAGUGACGGUACCUGCAGAAAAAAGCACCGGCUAACUACGUGCCAGCAGCCGCGGUAAUACGUAGGGUGCAGGCGUUGUCCGGAAUUAUUGGGCGUAAAGAGCUCGUAGGCGGUCUGUCGCGUCUGCUGUGAAAUCCCGAGGCUCAACCUCGGGCCUGCAGUGGGUACGGGCAGACUAGAGUGCGGUAGGGGAGAAUGGAACUCCUGGUGUAGCGGUGGAAUGCGCAGAUAUCAGGAAGAACACCGAUGGCGAAGGCAGUUCUCUGGGCCGUAACUGACGCUGAGGAGCGAAAGCGU